Molecule: long non-coding RNA, 5054 nt
Filed under: Citrus sinensis (sweet orange)
Lineage: Eukaryota; Viridiplantae; Streptophyta; Magnoliopsida; Sapindales; Rutaceae
Description: long non-coding RNA (CSIN_LNC001968)
Source: RNAcentral
UUUGAGUUCCUGACAAAGCUAUCAAUUCAACAUAAACUUCACCGGUCUUUGCUUUUCAUGUCACUGGUCUUUGCUGAUUACAGUGAGUAAAUUAAAUUCACAAAAAUAAAGUUUAUUGAAGUAGAGAAAUAACUAGUCACAGUUCAGAUAUUGAAAAGAUUUAAUUGUUCAUAAUAGUAUAGUACCUACGCGAACAAGGCCAGAACACCAAGUUCAAAGCAUUUAUACACCAAGUACAUGCAUUUCAAAUAGGCAAAAUAAAAUGAAAGACUCAGCACAUUGAUGCUGCAUGACAUAUGGUGUCUAAGUACCUUCUACACGCUUAUGGGUCAAGAUUUUCUGAAAGUUUAGAGCAAUGAAAUCAUCCUCCAAAGAUAAUAUCAUAUAUUUUUUAGAAGCCACAAACAAAUAAAUUUUACAAAUUUCACAAGCCAAGGCAAAGCCAUGUGGAAUGCAAGGCAGGAUGCAUUAUUAGUACAAGUCUUAAAGUGAAAGCAUUAGGUAGAAGAUAGUAGACGAGAAAUGAAACCAUUGAUCCCAGUAUGGGUGAAAUCACCCAUGAUGAAGUCACCCUCGCAAGUGAACUCGAAAAGACAGCACUAUGUCACGGGAUGAAUGUUUUCCGCAAUGAAUCCGUGCGACACUUAGACAACUCUUGCUGAAAGUUGCUAAAUAAGCCUUUGAGCUUCUCGACUAGCUAAGCCUGGAGGUUUUCAAAAGAGUUAGAGAGAAGAGAGCAAUGGAGCCGAAAAAGAAAAUUUGUAUUAUUCGCAAAGUGUUUACAAGAGAGCUUAAAAGAGUGCUUGAGUUGCUUGCUCUUAGCUUGAUGCUCAAAUGUCAAAUGACAUGCCCUAUUUAUAGGAAGACUUGCCAAACUCUAGAGUUCUAGAGAAUUCUACCAACUUGCCUAAAUAUCUAGAUAUUUACAUGUGAUAGGGAUGUGUAGAAAAUUCUAAAUAUGUACAAGCUUGAGAUGUGUUAGAGUUUGCUAGAAAAUUCUAGAAUCGGGCCAAGCUAGUACUAUUGACUUAUGUUUGAGCUCUUAUCCUAAAAUUAUGGGCACUUGGGCUAGCAACUUGGGCGGUCUGCAACAACUAGCUCCCCAUAAAAAGACCAAAUCCAACCAUUGAUUUUACUAAAUAGUGUGGUGGAGACAGGGCGACCAUCAACUUGAAAAAUACAAGAUACUAUUAGUGGAUAAAAACAUAACAAAUAAAUAUAAAGGAGAACAACUACCCCUCAAUGAUAGAGCGAUAAAAAAAAAAAAAAAAAAAAAAAAAAAAAAAAAAAAAAAAAAAAAAAAAAAAAGAGAAGUUAUUUUAGACUUAAACAUAAGCUACUUAUAAAUUACGUUUGGUAUUGAGGUGGUGUAAAUUUAAGAGCAAAAUUGGCAUUAAAAAAAGUUAUAAUUAUGAAAUAAAAGUUAAUAAAAUGUUGUAAAUAAAAUUUUUAAUAAUAAUUUUGACAAAUUAAAUAUAUAAUAGAUUUUUCAUCAUAUACGUGUAAAAUCAAAUUAAAUUAUCUUCCAAGGUAUAACAGUUAGUGUUUACCAAAUAUUUGAAAACUAUAGUUUUACAACUGCCAAAUUUCAAUCCCAAACAUGAUGUAUAAUACCUAAUGGACACAAUAAUUUUCAAAUAGCAUUAAAUAAUCGUUAAAAGUCUCAAAGUUGGAUUUUAAGUCAUGGGGCAUCCUUCAUUUGCAAAAGAUACAUAUUUGGUUGGUGCACAAAUUCUUCCAUAAAGUUUAUUCAUACAUAGCCAAACGCAUCCCCUGCUUAACUGAAUUGCUGCAUGCUCAAUUAAAUUUCUAUUAAAAGGCUCCCAAUCCCAAAGAAAUCCGCAAUAUCAUAAUUAAUAUUAAAAUAUUAAUUAACAGGAAGCUCAAAUAAUGUUCUUGCAACCAAGUACCAGCUGCAGCCAAAGAAAAGAGCAAGCCAGCAAAAAAAAACUUCUCCUGAAAUACAUAGCAUCGAGGAUUCCCUUAUGCAUCGUAUUGGUAACAUGGGUUCUUGUAACAUCCCAGUUUGAAUUUCAAAGGCAAAUAUGUCUACAACUCACAUAUGAAUUUAAAUAACUCUUUACAAACAAUAAAAUUCGAGCCUCAAAUAUAAAAGCCAGCGGAAUAACUUAAAAAUUUAGCCAAACAAUCUACCAUCCUCAAUUCAAAUCCAUCUUCUUACUCAUCACGAAUCAAUCCUGACUUCUGAAAACUGAAUCACAAUAAACUAUAACGAGUACAAAACUCAGUAAGCAAACUAGUUUUUCUUAUACUAAAAUACAUACAUACUUAUACAUAAUGCAGAUGGAUAAUAUGUCAUGAUCUUUUGGAAAUAUUGUAAAACAAAUUCAUCAAAAUCUCUUUCUGUCACUUUCAAACUUCCAUAUUUUCUUUCAAUAAAAUACAUAUUCUGCAAUUGUGGCACUUUGCGUCGCUCUGACUCUUAAGAGGUGGCCUCCGCAUAGUCUCAAGAGGUGGCCCCCACACAACUUCAAGAGGUGGCCCCCAAUAUAAAAUCUCAUAAAACAGAAAUCUCAUUUGCUAAAAUCCAUUUUCUCAUUCAUAGAAAACUCAUUGCAUUUUCGUACUUAUGCCAAUGAAAUUUCACACAUACAUAUACCCAUGUACGUAAUCACGCCCAGCACAUAACAACACAUCACAUAAACACAUGAGCAGAGACAUAUAAAUCCAUAAUCGUACAUGUAAAAAAUAGGCUAUUCACACAAGUCAAACAUAUAUAUUGUUUAUUGUGAUUCAUUUAAAAGUCUAUUUAACUUACCUCUUGGCAUCCUCAUGCAACAAAUGCGUACUGAUAUCAUCAACCUAAAAUCAUCAAUAAAUUUCUUAGAAAAUAUAAUCAAGUCUCAAUAAUAAACUCUAAUGUCCUCAGCUAUCUCAAUUUAAACAUCUCAUAAGCUCAACCUCAAAUGUCCUCAAUAAUCGGCCCUCAAAACAUAACAGUCCAUAUUCUCCGAUUUUUUAAUAAAUUAUUCCCUCAUUGGAAAACUCUCAAAUUUUACAGACCAUAUGCUGACAUAUUGAAAGUUCACUGAUAAAAAUUUCAUAACUUGAUUCCUUCAAAAACUAUUGAAAAUAAUUGACGUUUCAGACAUCAUCAAUGCUGUCAAACAGUUUUCUGUUUUGCACACACUUGCUUUAAAAAUACAAAAAAAAUUAUUUCUUUAUCAUAAAAUCAUGAAAAUUUACAGACUCAUACUAGACAUAUGUAAAAAUCUCUGAUCCAAAUUUCAUAAUUUUUGAAGAAGUCUAGCUAUGGUAAAAAUUGUUUCGUAAUUCACGUUAUGCACUGAAAUCAUAAAUUUUCAGGUUUUCAGACUUGAAUUUGGGUGGCCCCCACACAACUUCAAGAGGUGGCCCCCAAUAUAAAAUCUCAUAAAACAGAAAUCUCAUUUGCUAAAAUCCAUUUUCUCAUUCAUAGAAAACUCAUUGCAUUUUCGUACUUAUGCCAAUGAAAUUUCACACAUACAUAUACCCAUGUACGUAAUCACGCCCAGCACAUAACAACACAUCACAUAAACACAUGAGCAGAGACAUAUAAAUCCAUAAUCGUACAUGUAAAAAAUAGGCUAUUCACACAAGUCAAACAUAUAUAUUGUUUAUUGUGAUUCAUUUAAAAGUCUAUUUAACUUACCUCUUGGCAUCCUCAUGCAACAAAUGCGUACUGAUAUCAUCAACCUAAAAUCAUCAAUAAAUUUCUUAGAAAAUAUAAUCAAGUCUCAAUAAUAAACUCUAAUGUCCUCAGCUAUCUCAAUUUAAACAUCUCAUAAGCUCAACCUCAAAUGUCCUCAAUAAUCGGCCCUCAAAACAUAACAGUCCAUAUUCUCCGAUUUUUUAAUAAAUUAUUCCCUCAUUGGAAAACUCUCAAAUUUUACAGACCAUAUGCUGACAUAUUGAAAGUUCACUGAUAAAAAUUUCAUAACUUGAUUCCUUCAAAAACUAUUGAAAAUAAUUGACGUUUCAGACAUCAUCAAUGCUGUCAAACAGUUUUCUGUUUUGCACACACUUGCUUUAAAAAUACAAAAAAAAUUAUUUCUUUAUCAUAAAAUCAUGAAAAUUUACAGACUCAUACUAGACAUAUGUAAAAAUCUCUGAUCCAAAUUUCAUAAUUUUUGAAGAAGUCUAGCUAUGGUAAAAAUUGUUUCGUAAUUCACGUUAUGCACUGAAAUCAUAAAUUUUCAGGUUUUCAGACUUGAAUUUGAAAAAUCAUAACUAAUUGAAAUCUUAUCCGAUUAACUUGAAACAAGUUUCAAAACAUUCUAGAUGAUGUCUAGUUUAACAUAUCCAAAUAUCAGAAUCAAAAUCAAUUUGUAAAAAUUACUAAGAUUUUCGUAAUAAUUCACUGUGAGCAUAUUUAUGCAAAAUCUUAAGUUUCUACUUCUAUUGCAAUCAUGCUUCUCCAUAACGAAUUAAUAAAUAAAACCAAGAAUUAAAACUUACCUCCAAAUCCAAAUCUUUUCUCAACAAUACCCAAUUCAAAUUAUGCAACUUGAUCUCAUGUGUUGCCCAUGACAGAAUAAAGAAGAAGAUUUUCUUCUUUUCUUUUCUCUCUUUUCUUUUCUCUCUUUUCUCUCCAUCUCUCUCUCUCAUUUUUCCUAUUGUUUUUUUUUUCUCAACCGAUCUCUCUUUCCCUCUCUCUUAUAAUGAGAAAGACAUACUAUUCUAUUUAUACUAGGGUAAAAAAUAGAUCACUAAAAUUAAAAGAUUUAAAUACCCUUAGGAGAAUUGGGGUAUUACAGUUCCCAUCAAUAACUAUCCUGAAAACUUCAGCACAGCUGUAGUCAAACAGCUACUGCCUAUUGUCACGGCCCGCUUGUUCCCAAGUUGUGCCGUGCGGCCUUAGGCGCCAAAUCACACUCUCUUAACCCUAAGUUAGCCUUGCACACUCCGAACGUUGCUGGAUUCAAAAGUCGAAAUGAGUAUUCACACAAACUCACUCAAGAUAGGAGGAAAGAACUUUUAUUGCUCAAAAAAAGCUUACAAUGCUUUGUGUGCUGGAACUUGUGUGUUUCUAGUGUGUCUUGAACCAAACGAUG